AGGGGGGCAACCCCCAAGAGAGCAGCGAACGGGUGAGUAACGCGUGGGUGAUCUUCCUUCGAGUGGGGAACAACAUCGGGAAACUGGUGCUAAUUCCGCAUAAUACCCUGGGGCUACGAGCCUCAGGAUCAAAGCCGGGGACCGUAAGGCCUGGCGCUUGAAGAUGAGCCCGCGUCCGAUUAGCUAGUUGGCGGGGUAAUGGCCCACCAAGGCUUCGAUCGGUAGCCGGCCUGAGAGGGCGGACGGCCACGCUGGAACUGAGACACGGUCCAGACUCCUACGGGAGGCAGCAGUGGGGAAUUUUUCGCAAUGGGCGCAAGCCUGACGAAGCAACGCCGCGUGGAGGAUGAAGGUCUUCGGAUUGUAAACUCCUGUCGACCGGGACGAAUGCACUCGACCUAAUACGUCGAGCUGUUGACGGUACCGGUGGAGGAAGCCACGGCUAACUCUGUGCCAGCAGCCGCGGUAAUACAGAGGUGGCAAGCGUUGUUCGGAAUUACUGGGCGUAAAGGGCGCGUAGGCGGCCUUAUAAGUCUCGUGUGAAAGCCCUCGGCUUAACUGAGGAUCUGCACGGGAUACUGUAAGGCUCGAGUUCGGGAGAGGAAAGCGGAAUUCCGGGUGUAGCGGUGAAAUGCGUAGAUAUCCGGAGGAACACCAGUGGCGAAGGCGGCUUUCUGGGCCGACACUGACGCUGAGGCGCGAAAGCUAGGGGAGCAAACGGGAUUAGAUACCCCGGUAGUCCUAGCUGUAAACGAUGAUCGCUGGGGGGGGGGGGGGUUUUUACUCCCCCCGUGCCGAAGCUAACGCAUUAAGCGAUCCGCCUGGGGAGUACGGUCGCAAGGCUGAAACUCAAAGGAAUUGACGGGGGCCCGCACAAGCGGUG
This 883-nucleotide ribosomal RNA is filed under the name uncultured bacterium. Its description in RNAcentral is "partial 16S ribosomal RNA". It matches the Rfam family "Bacterial small subunit ribosomal RNA", at positions 73 to 934 of the family's 1533-position model. The record is from RNAcentral.